This 484-nucleotide ribosomal RNA is filed under the name uncultured bacterium. Its description in RNAcentral is "partial 16S ribosomal RNA". It matches the Rfam family "Bacterial small subunit ribosomal RNA", at positions 30 to 507 of the family's 1533-position model. The record is from RNAcentral.
AUUGAACGCUAGCGGGAUGCUUUACACAUGCAAGUCGAACGGCAGCGCGGACUUCGGUCUGGCGGCGAGUGGCGAACGGGUGAGUAAUGUAUCGGAACGUGCCCAGUAGCGGGGGAUAACUACGCGAAAGCGUAGCUAAUACCGCAUACGCCCUACGGGGGAAAGCAGGGGAUCGUAAGACCUUGCACUAUUGGAGCGGCCGAUAUCGGAUUAGCUAGUUGGUGAGGUAAAGGCUCACCAAGGCGACGAUCCGUAGCUGGUUUGAGAGGACGACCAGCCACACUGGGACUGAGACACGGCCCAGACUCCUACGGGAGGCAGCAGUGGGGAAUUUUGGACAAUGGGGGCAACCCUGAUCCAGCCAUCCCGCGUGUGCGAUGAAGGCCUUCGGGUUGUAAAGCACUUUUGGCAGGGAAGAAACGUCGCGGGCUAAUACCCCGUGGAACUGACGGUACCUGCAGAAUAAGCACCGGCUAACUACGUG